RNAcentral lists this ribosomal RNA (455 nucleotides) under uncultured bacterium. RNAcentral's name for it is "bacterial SSU rRNA". It matches the Rfam family "Bacterial small subunit ribosomal RNA", at positions 338 to 795 of the family's 1533-position model. The record is from RNAcentral.
CCUANGGGUGGCUGCAGUAAGGAAUAUUGCGCAAUGGGCGAAAGCCUGACGCAGCGACGCCGCGUGGGGGAUGAAGGUCUUCGGAUUGUAAACCCCUUUCGGGAGGGAAGAUGGAACGAGCAAUCGUUCGGACGGUACCUCCAAAGGAAGCACCGGCUAACUCCGUGCCAGCAGCCGCGGUAAUACGGAGGGUGCAAGCGUUGUCCGGAAUCACUGGGCGUAAAGGGCGCGUAGGCGGCUGGGUAAGUCACGCGUGAAAUUCCGGGGCUCAACCCCGGAACUGCGUGUGGGACUGCCUGGCUAGAGCAUGGUAGAGGCGAGCGGAAUUCCAGGUGUAGCGGUGGAAUGCGUAGAUAUCUGGAAGAACACCAGUGGCGAAGGCGGCUCGCUGGGCCAUUGCUGACGCUGAGGCGCGAAAGCGUGGGGAGCAAACAGGAUUAGAUACCCCANUANUC